AGCAGCCGCGGUAAUUCCAGCUCCAAUAGCGUAUAUUAAAGUUGUUGCAGUUAAAAAGCUCGUAGUUGAAUUUCGGGAUUUGUCAGUUGGUCGGGCUUCACUGUUCGUACUGACUUGAUGGAUUCUUACCUUCUGAAUAACCAGCAUGCUAUUAAGUUAGUGCGUUGGAGAAGCAGAUCUAUUACCUUGAAAAAAUUAGAGUGCUUAAAGCGGGCUAGUGCUUGAAUAGAUUAGCAUGGAAUAAUAAAAUAGGACGGCAUGGUUCUAUUUUGUUGGUUUCUAGGAUCACCGUA
RNAcentral lists this ribosomal RNA (293 nucleotides) under uncultured Acaulosporaceae. RNAcentral's name for it is "partial small subunit ribosomal RNA". It matches the Rfam family "Eukaryotic small subunit ribosomal RNA", at positions 569 to 864 of the family's 1831-position model. The record is from RNAcentral. Lineage: Eukaryota; Fungi; Glomeromycota; Glomeromycetes; Diversisporales; Acaulosporaceae.